CAGCUCCAGGGAUGACUGACUCAAUAAGAAGGGGGUGGCGGUUGAUCAGAUGCCCUACUCCACAAGAAGGCAUAGCUGAGGCCCAAGUUCCACAUACCCUACAUCAUGGAGAUGGAAAAAACAUGGAGGUCAGCUGGCCUUGAGGAGAAAAGUUUCCCAGCAGGGAGACUGUGAGAGGCAUGAGCAGGAGCGUCCCCAUGGGUCUUGUACGAGAGGAGAUGGAUAAGAGGAAUCAGACUCAGCUGGCCUGGAGCUCAGGGCCAGACACGUCACCUCGAGACGCGGCCGGGGCAAAGUUCUGAUGUGUGAAAUCACCCGCAGGCUCGUGCUGGGUGUUCCUUCCAUGUCGUCGGCCUCAAAGUUGGAUUAAAGAGG
Alosa alosa (allis shad) is the source of this 375-nucleotide long non-coding RNA. RefSeq lists it as uncharacterized. The record is from RefSeq and is a predicted model, not a curated record. The transcript is spliced from 4 exons. Lineage: Eukaryota; Metazoa; Chordata; Actinopteri; Clupeiformes; Clupeidae.